AGAAGGGCUUCCGCGCGGAGACGUUCGGGGGCCUUUUUCUUUUGC
Mesorhizobium sp. is the source of this 45-nucleotide non-coding RNA. It matches the Rfam family "ctRNA". From Rfam's summary of the family: This family represents a group of ctRNAs (or counter-transcribed RNAs) from p42d and related plasmids. ctRNAs are small, highly structured, antisense sequences which are involved in negative regulation. Members of this family are known to bind to the mRNA of repC causing translational repression. This model contains the predicted stem-loop structure followed by a U-rich tract which is proposed to act as a Rho-independent transcriptional terminator. The record is from Rfam. NCBI's taxonomy places the organism in Bacteria, Pseudomonadati, Pseudomonadota, Alphaproteobacteria, Hyphomicrobiales, Phyllobacteriaceae.